Molecule: ribosomal RNA, 400 nt
Filed under: uncultured bacterium
Lineage: Bacteria
Description: bacterial SSU rRNA
Rfam family: Bacterial small subunit ribosomal RNA
Source: RNAcentral
UGGGGAAUAUUGCGCAAUGGAGGAAACUCUGACGCAGCAACGCCGCGUGGGUGAAGAAGGUCUUCGGAUUGUAAAGCCCUGUCGGGAGGGAAGAAAGGCGCAUGGUGAGUGCGUUUGACGGUACCUUCGAAGGAAGCACUGGCUAACUCCGUGCCAGCAGCCGCGGUAAUACGGAGAGUGCAAACGUUGUUCGGAAUUAUUGGGCGUAAAGGGCGCGUAGGCGGUCUGGUAAGUCGGAUGUGAAAGCCCGGGGCUCAACCCUGGAAGUGCGUUCGAAACUGCUGGACUUGAGUUCAGGAGGGAGAGGUGGAAUUCCUGGUGUAGGGGUGAAAUCCGUAGAUAUCAGGAGGAACACCGGUGGCGAAGGCGACCUCUUGGCCUGACACUGACGCUGAGGCGC